Molecule: ribosomal RNA, 495 nt
Filed under: uncultured bacterium
Lineage: Bacteria
Description: partial 16S ribosomal RNA
Rfam family: Bacterial small subunit ribosomal RNA
Source: RNAcentral
UGAACGCUGGCGGCGUGCCUAAUACAUGCAAGUCGAGCGAACAGACGAGGAGCUUGCUCCUCUGACGUUAGCGGCGGACGGGUGAGUAACACGUGGAUAACCUACCUAUAAGACUGGGAUAACUUCGGGAAACCGGAGCUAAUACCGGAUAAUAUAUUGAACCGCAUGGUUCAAUAGUGAAAGACGGUUUUGCUGUCACUUAUAGAUGGAUCCGCGCCGCAUUAGCUAGUUGGUAAGGUAACGGCUGACCAAGGCAACGAUGCGUAGCCGACCUGAGAGGGUGAUCGGCCACACUGGAACUGAGACACGGUCCAGACUCCUACGGGAGGCAGCAGUAGGGAAUCUUCCGCAAUGGGCGAAAGCCUGACGGAGCAACGCCGCGUGAGUGAUGAAGGUCUUCGGAUCGUAAAACUCUGUUAUUAGGGAAGAACAAAUGUGUAAGUAACUAUGCACGUCUUGACGGUACCUAAUCAGAAAGCCACGGCUAACUACGUG